UUUUUUUAGUUAUAUUUUCUUUAUAGAAAUUUAAGGUUUUCUAGUUAAAAAAAGUUCAUGCAUUGCAUAGGAAAAAAACAAAGCUUUUACACUAUGGUAAAUAAAAAUGUAUGAAAUGAACAUCCUUGGGUAGUUUUGUAGUAUCCUUUGAGUAUUGACUAGAUUAGAAUUAAAUUUGUAACAGAGCAUUCCUUGGAACUUCCUAGUUCUUACUGUUGCUGUUUAGCUCUAUCCUGUCAGCAUGAUCAAUAUGUUUCUGUUUUACCUUGAAUUAAAGUCUUCCAAACA
This 288-nucleotide long non-coding RNA is filed under the name Mytilus galloprovincialis (Mediterranean mussel). Lineage: Eukaryota; Metazoa; Mollusca; Bivalvia; Mytilida; Mytilidae. The record is from RNAcentral.